Molecule: ribosomal RNA, 378 nt
Filed under: uncultured bacterium
Lineage: Bacteria
Description: bacterial SSU rRNA
Rfam family: Bacterial small subunit ribosomal RNA
Source: RNAcentral
GACGAACGCUGGCGGCGUGCCUAACACAUGCAAGUCGAAUGGAAGCUUUUCUUCGGAGAAACUUUAGUGGCGAACGGGUGAGUAACGCGUGAGAAACCUGCCUUUCAGUGGGGGACAACAGUUGGAAACGACUGCUAAUACCGCAUAGGUAGAUUGGAGGCAUCUCUGAUCUAUUAAAGUUUAGAUACACCGAUAGAUGGGCUUACGGCGCAUUAGCUAGUUGGUGAGGUAACGGCUCACCAAGGCGAUGAUGCGUAGCCGGACUGAGAGGUUGAACGGCCACAUUGGGACUGAGACACGGCCCAAACUCCUACGGGAGGCAGCAGUAGGGAAUUUUCGGCAAUGGGGGAAACCCUGACCGAGCAACGCCGCGUGAGU